This 888-nucleotide long non-coding RNA is filed under the name Vigna radiata. RNAcentral describes it as "long non-coding RNA (VRAD_LNC002057)". The record is from RNAcentral. Lineage: Eukaryota; Viridiplantae; Streptophyta; Magnoliopsida; Fabales; Fabaceae.
UUAAGUACCAAGUCUUGCCUAGCCAGAUUAAUCUUAUGCUACUCACUAAAUACCCUUUAAAGUAAAAUUACUUUUAAAAUCAAAGGACACACAAACAAAGACAAUUGGACUUUAAGACCCCUAAAACGUUUUCGGAGCCUUUGACUGAUUGAAAUCUCACUUUAUCACCAUUUUCACCGUCGAUCUACACUUUUCACCGAUAAAAGCCACAUUUCACAGAUUAAUACUCCUUUGCCAACAUUUCCUACCGAUUAGAACCCUUCUUAACUCAAACCCUAGCCUUUUCUUCGGUCAAAUCACUCAAACCUAGGGUUUUGUUCUUCCGCUGCGUCUAUUGUCCGGUUCGUCAGUCGAUCUGAUCCAGUUUCUUCAGCUCAUUGCCAAUCUGUCUCGGAGCGGGUUGUACCACCUAAGACUUGAAACACAUUUGGUUCUUGAGAGACGACCUAGGAGUCACUUCCUAGUCUAUACUGCAUUCUUUAUGCACAUUAAAUUUGCAUGGGGUGCGACACCCAUCAAAUUUUGGCGCCGUUGUCGGGGACCAACAGUUCGGUCUUAGGUCUUUGUUGUGUUAGUGUGUGUUGUGUUUUGUCUUGUAUUGUGAGUGUGAUGUUCUGUUUUGUAUGUUUGUCAUUGUGUGUUGCAUUUAGGUAGCUUUAGUUGCAUAUUUUCAUUGCAUUCUUCUUUUCCCCUUCUUUCCCAUGUCUACCUAUUUUGGUGAUGAGUGCAUAUUUAUGCCCACAUUUAUGUUUUAAAAUUGAAAUUUUUGAUGAGAUAUUUGUGCUUAAAUAAUUGAUUUAAAGUGAAUUUGUGACAAUUGGAUUUAUUGGGUUUGGGAAUUAAAGAUGCUUAAAAUGUGAUUUUUAGUUGCAUAAAUUAUUUUGGAUG